UUAGCCCCUAAACCCAAGGGCCCCUAUCUACUGGUAAUAGGGGCUCAGACACAGGUCCUACAGCAAAAGGUUACCUCAUCACCUUUGAGGACUUCCUGUGCCCUUCAAAGUGAAUUUAGAGUUUAUACACAC
This 132-nucleotide small nucleolar RNA is filed under the name Erinaceus europaeus (western European hedgehog). RNAcentral's name for it is "Small nucleolar RNA SNORA68 (ENSEEUG00000022667.1)". It matches the Rfam family "Small nucleolar RNA SNORA68". From Rfam's summary of the family: U68 is a member of the H/ACA class of small nucleolar RNAs (snoRNAs) which act as guides in the the modification of uridines to pseudouridines. The record is from RNAcentral. Lineage: Eukaryota; Metazoa; Chordata; Mammalia; Eulipotyphla; Erinaceidae.